CAGGACCCCUGGAAGAGCAGCCAGUGCUCUUAACCUCUGAGCCAUCCCUCCAGACCUCCGAGGGUCUGCUCCAGGCAAGUGUCUGUGCUGUGUGGGAGACAGGCUGGAGACUUGUCUCAGGAUCACUGUGCUUCCCUGGCCCUGUACACGACAAAGAUCUUUUCGCAUCACUGAAAUGUCUGGCUAUUUCCACAAACUUCCUCCCUGACAAUGAAUCAAGCAGGAGAUCUGAAGAGCUUGUGCUGGAGGCACAGCCCCCAGCCAGGCAGGGAGAAUUUGGGAGGAGGGUCCCUUAAAGGCUAGCCCUCUCUUGCUGGGCUGAGGUUGCUGUGUACCAAACAUGGGGAGGGCCAGACCUCAGCUGCUGCAAGAGCCUAGGCCCAAGAAAUGGCUGCCGCCCUUUUCCACAAAUGCAGUGUAUUUUCCGUGGCUGUCUCUAGACCAGGACCAUCUCAACUCCCACAAGAUUCCUGACAUUCUCUGCAUGCAGCUCCCGGACGGCUUCACUCUCCAAGGAUGGGACAACUCCAACUCCAGGGCAGAGUUCUGGGAUUUGUGCAUCUGGCAUAAAUUCCAAGAAGUAAACACCCUCCCGGCCCUGUCCAAGUCUUGAGGAUUUCCUGUUGUCUGAGUUACUCUGUAGAAAGGGUUCACAUCUGCACUUCAUCAGCUUACAGGCGCCUGGAUGAGAAGCAGAUGUGGUCACAGAGGGGGCUCUGCCACGGGCCUAGUUUCUGGGAGGACUUAUGCUCUGCUGGACAUGUACUGAGUGAACAAUUAGGGAACCAGAAGGCAGAUCUACACUUGUGAUGUUCCCUACUUUGUGAGUGUGUGUAUAUGCGCGUGUGCACACACAGUAACCGUGCAAGGAGUGAGAGGCUGAUGAGCAUGUAACUACAGUAACAAUCUUCCAGCUAAGUUUGGGGUCCUCUGGGUUGGAGAAUUCUUACCAGCCACACAGGAUCCUAAAAUCCUCUGAGGACAGCGAAUAUCAAGACAGGGCCCUCCUGACUCCACCUCUCCCCUGCCUACCCUCCCACAAAGACAGGCAGGCUUCCUUCUCACCCAGCUCAGGAAAGGAAAAACACAACUAGUCCAAGGGCCCCAUCUGAGAUGAUCCGACACGUCCUUGAGGCCUUCAGUACCAGCUACAGAAGGUUGAGGUAGAAGGAUCAGGUCAGUUUGGAACUCUUAAAACAGCUUCCUUGGCUUGAAACUUCAUGUUUGGUUCUCACUGGAAAUUAGCCAUUUAAUAAAUACCUAAGAUAACUGGCUUAA
Non-coding RNA from Cricetulus griseus (Chinese hamster), 1278 nucleotides. Lineage: Eukaryota; Metazoa; Chordata; Mammalia; Rodentia; Cricetidae. The record is from RefSeq and is a predicted model, not a curated record.